This 29-nucleotide small RNA is filed under the name Bombyx mori (domestic silkworm). RNAcentral's name for it is "ovarian small RNA-36207". The record is from RNAcentral. Lineage: Eukaryota; Metazoa; Arthropoda; Insecta; Lepidoptera; Bombycidae.
UGUUGUUUUGGUCCCGGCCUCUACGCCGU